Molecule: small nuclear RNA, 164 nt
Filed under: Myotis davidii
Lineage: Eukaryota; Metazoa; Chordata; Mammalia; Chiroptera; Vespertilionidae
Description: U1 spliceosomal RNA
Rfam family: U1 spliceosomal RNA
About the family: U1 is a small nuclear RNA (snRNA) component of the spliceosome (involved in pre-mRNA splicing). Its 5' end forms complementary base pairs with the 5' splice junction, thus defining the 5' donor site of an intron.
Source: Rfam by way of RNAcentral
AUACUUACCUGGCAGGGGAGAUGCCAUGAUCAAGAAGGUGGUUGUCCCAGGGUGAGGUUUAUCCAUUGCACUCCGGAUGUGCUGACCCCUGCGAUUUCCCCAAAUGUGGGAAACUUGACUGCAUAAUUUGUAGUAGUGAGGGACUGAGUUUGCGCUUACCCCUG